Molecule: ribosomal RNA, 305 nt
Filed under: uncultured bacterium
Lineage: Bacteria
Description: bacterial SSU rRNA
Rfam family: Bacterial small subunit ribosomal RNA
Source: RNAcentral
UUACACCUACGGGAGGCAGCAGUGGGGGAUAUUGGACAAUGGGGGAAACCCUGAUCCAGCGACGCCGCGUGAGUGAAGAAGUAUUUCGGUAUGUAAAGCUCUGUCAGCAGGGAAGAAAGAAAUGACGGUACCUGACCAAGAAGCCCCGGCUAACUAUGUGCCAGCAGCCGCGGUAAUACAUAGGGGGCAAGCGUUAUCCGGAAUUAUUGGGUGUAAAGGGUGCGUAGACGGAAGAACAAGUUGGUUGUGAAAUCCCUCGGCUCAACUGAGGAACUGCAACCAAAACUAUUCUCCUUGAGUGUCGG